GCUUUGGAAACAAUAUCGAUUUUUACUUCCACUUUUUAUUAUUAUUAUUAUUAUUUUAUUUUUAUAAAUCAUAUGUUAUUUAAUCAGACGAAAUUCGAUAAAAAUACAGUUUUUAAAAUAGUUAACAAUUUAUACGUUGUCAGAGAUUUAUUUAUUUAUUUUUUAUUAAACCAAUACACGGAACUCGUGUACUCAUACGAUCACACCAGUAAAGAACCAGACAUAAGAGAUACAAAGAAACAAAAUAAGAUACAUAAACUACAUCACAUCAGUUACACGAGCAUCCGCUACUAAUCAAUUUGUCAGUUUUAUCCAGAGGAAUC
RNAcentral lists this long non-coding RNA (323 nucleotides) under Androctonus crassicauda. The record is from RNAcentral. Lineage: Eukaryota; Metazoa; Arthropoda; Arachnida; Scorpiones; Buthidae.